UACGUAGGGGGCAAGCGUUGUCCGGAAUUAUUGGGCGUAAAGAGCGCGUAGGCGGUCCGAUAAGUCGGCUGUGAAAGUCAGGGGCUCAACCCUUGGAAGCCGGCCGAUACUGUCGGACUAGAGUCCGGAAGAGGCGAGUGGAAUUCCCGGUGUAGCGGUGAAAUGCGCAGAUAUCGGGAGGAACACCAAUGGCGAAGGCAGCUCUCUAGUACGGUACUGACGCUGAGACGCGAAAGCGUGGGGAGCAAACAGG
RNAcentral lists this ribosomal RNA (253 nucleotides) under uncultured bacterium. Its description in RNAcentral is "partial 16S ribosomal RNA". It matches the Rfam family "Bacterial small subunit ribosomal RNA", at positions 524 to 776 of the family's 1533-position model. The record is from RNAcentral.